This 468-nucleotide ribosomal RNA is filed under the name uncultured bacterium. RNAcentral describes it as "partial 16S ribosomal RNA". It matches the Rfam family "Bacterial small subunit ribosomal RNA", at positions 28 to 507 of the family's 1533-position model. The record is from RNAcentral.
GACGAACGCUGGCGGCGUGCUUAACACAUGCAAGUCGAACGGAAAGGCCCUGCUUUUGUGGGGUGCUCGAGUGGCGAACGGGUGAGUAACACGUGAGUAACCUGCCCUUGACUUUGGGAUAACUUUAGGAAACUGGGGCUAAUAUAGGAUAGGAGCUCCUGCUGCAUGGUGGGGGUUGGAAAGUUUCGGCGGUUGGGGAUGGACUCGAGGCUUAUCAGCUUGUUGGUGGGGUAGUGGCUUACCAAGGCUUUGACGGGUAGGCGGCCUGUGAGGGUGACCGGCCACAUGGGGACUGAGGUACGGCCCAGACGCCAAUGUGAGGCAGCAGUGGGGAAUAUUACGCAAUGGGCGGAAGCCUGAUGCAGCAACGUCGCGUGCGGGAUGACGGCCUUCGAGUUGUAAACCGCUUUCGCCUGUAACGAAGCGUGAGUGACGGUAAUGGGUAAAGAAGCACCGGCUAACUACGUG